RNAcentral lists this ribosomal RNA (469 nucleotides) under uncultured bacterium. RNAcentral describes it as "partial 16S ribosomal RNA". It matches the Rfam family "Bacterial small subunit ribosomal RNA", at positions 28 to 507 of the family's 1533-position model. The record is from RNAcentral.
GACGAACGCUGGCGGCGUGCUUAACACAUGCAAGUCGAACGGAAAGGCCCUGCUUGCAGGGUGCUCGAGUGGCGAACGGGUGAGUAACACGUGGGUGAUCUGCCCCUUACUUUGGGAUAAGCCUGGGAAACCGGGUCUAAUACUGGAUAGGACCAUGCUGUAGGUGGUGUGGUGGAAAGAUUAGUUUCGGUAAGGGAUGAGCUCGCGGCCUAUCAGCUUGUUGGUGGGGUAAUGGCCUACCAAGGCGUCGACGGGUAGCCGGCCUGAGAGGGUGGACGGCCACAUUGGGACUGAGAUACGGCCCAGACUCCUACGGGAGGCAGCAGUGGGGAAUAUUGCACAAUGGGCGCAAGCCUGAUGCAGCGACGCCGCGUGGGGGAUGACGGCCUUCGGGUUGUAAACUCCUUUCAGCCAUGACGAAGCCCUUGUGGUGACGGUAGUGGUAGAAGAAGCACCGGCUAACUACGUG